GGCCUUGUGGUAUAGUGGUAUUAUUCUUCGUUCGGGUCGAAGAGGUCCAGGGUUCGAUUCCCUGCGGGGCCC
This 72-nucleotide transfer RNA is filed under the name Desulfosporosinus sp. RNAcentral describes it as "tRNA-Pro". It matches the Rfam family "tRNA". From Rfam's summary of the family: Transfer RNA (tRNA) molecules are approximately 80 nucleotides in length. The record is from RNAcentral. Lineage: Bacteria; Bacillati; Bacillota; Clostridia; Eubacteriales; Desulfitobacteriaceae.